Molecule: long non-coding RNA, 653 nt
Organism: Portunus trituberculatus (swimming crab)
Lineage: Eukaryota; Metazoa; Arthropoda; Malacostraca; Decapoda; Portunidae
Exons: 5
Source: RefSeq, a predicted model, not a curated record
GUUCUUUAUCCACCUACCACUUCAAACCAAUCGAACGGAGGAGGAGGGUGUGUGUGGACCUCGUUCUUCGCUUCUUCAUGGGGUUCCUAGUGCCCAGCCAAGCCUCUGUGUCUGUCUGUGCGUCCUGUGAGGUGCAGAGUCCCGCCCCGCCAAACACUGUUUCUUCAGAAGACGACACCAGAGACCUGACACGCUCCGAGGACUAAGGUCAACCGAAGACGUCUGCACAACUACAAGAAAUUUUAAGUUUUAUAAUGGCAAGAAUAAUAGCAAGAGGUGGCAAGGCGUCUAUGCUGCCUCCUCCUCGUCCCCGUUGAUGAUGUUUUUGAAGCCAUACACCAGUACCAAGUCACAUCGAGGAGAAAUGCAGGAAAAGUUGCAUGGUAUACAGAGUGUGCCUGAAGGAGAGUUGCCAUAACCAUACCAGUGGAGACGGAGGGUGUGAAGGAAGGCAGACAGUCCCUCCAUCAGGACCAGGAUGCUCACAGUGAGGACCGCCCAGAAGGAGAAAAUAAGCACCUCAGACAGCUGCCCGUGAGCCAGGGACAGCGCCCAAAGCCGGAGGUAAGAGGCUGUAUGGGAGACGCAGCCCAGCACAAACUCAAUGGUGUGGAUGGCCUGCUCAAUGAACACCUCACUGAACUCAAACUCCU